CCCUAUUAUUAGGAGCAAAAUAAUUUUUAGAGAGUAGGUCUUCCAACUGAAAACAAUCCAGAAUGGCGGUUUCUUUUAUUCUCAGGUAGGUGUGUCUCUAAAACGAAGGUUCACGAAAAUCUUUCUUACUCUUGAAAAAUUCAUCCUGUACACCGCCGUCUGAAGGGUUAAAAAAAUCUCUGACCCUUUUCCUUAAAUUGCUCAGGAAUAAGUCAGGUAAGGUGCAGACUAUGGGUAAGAAAAGAUGCACUUCACUAAAACAUUUUCUAGAAAAUAGUUGAAACACUUUUUUCAAGAAGAAUUUGAAAGUAAAAUCUCUUAAUUAUAGAAAUUUGAACCAAUCCCAAAGAAAUGUACACAUCGCCCG
RNAcentral lists this ribosomal RNA (367 nucleotides) under Columbicola gracilicapitis. Its description in RNAcentral is "partial 12S ribosomal RNA". Lineage: Eukaryota; Metazoa; Arthropoda; Insecta; Psocodea; Philopteridae. The record is from RNAcentral.